CGUCCAGACUCCUACGGGAGGCAGCAGUGGGGAAUAUUGCACAAUGGGCGCAAGCCUGAUGCAGCCAUGCCGCGUGUAUGAAGAAGGCCUUCGGGUUGUAAAGUACUUUCAGCGGGGAGGAAGGUGUUGAGGUUAAUAACCUCAGCAAUUGACGUUACCCGCAGAAGAAGCACCGGCUAACUCCGUGCCAGCAGCCGCGGUAAUACGGAGGGUGCAAGCGUUAAUCGGAAUUACUGGGCGUAAAGCGCACGCAGGCGGUCUGUCAAGUCGGAUGUGAAAUCCCCGGGCUCAACCUGGGAACUGCAUUCGAAACUGGCAGGCUGGAGUCUUGUAGAGGGGGGUAGAAUUCCAGGUGUAGCGGUGAAAUGCGUAGAGAUCUGGAGGAAUACCGGUGGCGAAGGCGACCCCCUGGACAAAGACUGACGCUCAGGUGCGAAAGCGUGGGGAGCAAACAGGAUUAGAUACCCGCGUAC
This 473-nucleotide ribosomal RNA is filed under the name uncultured bacterium. RNAcentral describes it as "bacterial SSU rRNA". It matches the Rfam family "Bacterial small subunit ribosomal RNA", at positions 328 to 793 of the family's 1533-position model. The record is from RNAcentral.